ACGGGCAUACCAUGUUGAAUACACCGGUUCUCGUCCUGAUCACCGAAGAUAAGCAACGUCGGACCCGGUUAGUACUUGGGAGGGUGACCACCUGGGAACACUGGGUGCUGUGGGAAUCU
RNAcentral lists this ribosomal RNA (119 nucleotides) under Cordylochernes scorpioides. Lineage: Eukaryota; Metazoa; Arthropoda; Arachnida; Pseudoscorpiones; Chernetidae. The record is from RNAcentral.